This 307-nucleotide unclassified non-coding RNA is filed under the name plant metagenome. RNAcentral describes it as "partial contains 5.8S ribosomal RNA, internal transcribed spacer 2, and large subunit ribosomal RNA". The stretch from base 1 to 105 matches the Rfam family "5.8S ribosomal RNA", at positions 50 to 154 of the family's 154-position model. The record is from RNAcentral.
GAAAUGCGAUAAGUAGUGUGAAUUGCAGAAUUUAGCGAAUCAUCGAAUCUUUGAACGCACAUUGUGCCCCUUGGUAUUCCAUGGGGCAUGCCUGUUCGAGCGUCAUUUCAACCCUCAAGCACUGCUUGGUGUUGGGCGUUUGUCCCGCCUACGCGCGUGGACUCGCCUCAAAGUCAUUGGCAGCUGUUCCCCUUCGGCUCGUAAGCGCAGCACAGUCGGCGCCCGGAGCUCUGGUGGGAUGGCGUCCAGCAAGCUAUAUUUUCAGGCUCGACCUCGGAUCAGGUAGGGAUACCCGCUGAACUUAAGC